AUCGAGAUGGCGCAGCGGAAGCGUGCGGGGCUCAUAAUCCCGAGGUCCCAGGAUCGAAACCUGGUCUCGAUA
Molecule: transfer RNA, 72 nt
Filed under: Volvox carteri f. nagariensis
Lineage: Eukaryota; Viridiplantae; Chlorophyta; Chlorophyceae; Chlamydomonadales; Volvocaceae
Description: tRNA-iMet (CAT) (tRNA-iMet-CAT-5-1)
Rfam family: tRNA
About the family: Transfer RNA (tRNA) molecules are approximately 80 nucleotides in length.
Source: Rfam by way of RNAcentral